Molecule: RNase P RNA, 416 nt
Filed under: Nocardia vermiculata
Lineage: Bacteria; Bacillati; Actinomycetota; Actinomycetes; Mycobacteriales; Nocardiaceae
Description: Bacterial RNase P class A
Rfam family: Bacterial RNase P class A
About the family: Ribonuclease P (RNase P) is a ubiquitous endoribonuclease, found in archaea, bacteria and eukarya as well as chloroplasts and mitochondria. Its best characterised activity is the generation of mature 5'-ends of tRNAs by cleaving the 5'-leader elements of precursor-tRNAs.
Source: Rfam by way of RNAcentral
CGAGUCGGUCGGGCGACCGCGUCGACGGGAACGGGUGCAGUUGUACCGCCGCCUGUCGCCGAGGAAAGUCCGGACUCCACAGAGCAGGGCGGUUGUUAACGGCAACCCGGGGUGACCCGCGGGACAGUGCCACAGAAAACAAACCGCCGGUGGCCUCCUCGGAGACCGCCGGUAAGGGUGAAACGGUGCGGUAAGAGCGCACCAGCGCCCCGGGUGACCGGGGCGGCUAGGUAAACCCCGCCCGGAGCAAGGUCGAAGGUCGCACUCGGUGAGUGCGACUGCGCAGGUGUCCGAGGGCUGCUCGCCCGAGCCUGCGGGUUGACUGCUCGAGGUGCCCGGUGACGGUGCACCCAGAUGGAUGGUCGCCUCCCGGUGCGAACCGGGAACAGGAUCCGGCUUACAGACCGGCUCGUCAC